RNAcentral lists this ribosomal RNA (254 nucleotides) under uncultured Armatimonadota bacterium. RNAcentral describes it as "uncultured Armatimonadetes bacterium partial 16S ribosomal RNA". It matches the Rfam family "Bacterial small subunit ribosomal RNA", at positions 524 to 776 of the family's 1533-position model. Lineage: Bacteria; Bacillati; Armatimonadota. The record is from RNAcentral.
UACGUAGGGGGCGAGCGUUGUCCGAAGUUACUGGGCGUAAAGCGCGCGUAGGCGGCUAUUUAAGUUCGGGGUGAAAGGUUCAGCGCUCAACGUGAACAGUGCCCUGAAUACUGGGUAGCUUGAGUUCGGGAGGGGGCAGUGGAAUUCCGGGUGUAGCGGUGAAAUGCGUAGAUAUCCGGAGGAACACCGAUGGCGAAGGCAGCUGCCUGGCCCAGGACUGACGCUGAGGUGCGAAAGCGUGGGGAGCGAACGGG